Molecule: non-coding RNA, 183 nt
Organism: Pelobates cultripes (western spadefoot toad)
Lineage: Eukaryota; Metazoa; Chordata; Amphibia; Anura; Pelobatidae
Source: the annotation of a GenBank genome assembly
CAUGCUAGAGCACUUUUUCAAUGUGCUCCCCAACGAGAAGGCGACGACGCAUUCAUAUGUCAAUCCAUAUCAACUUUCGAUGCCAUUGACUGCGCCUACCAUGGUGACCACGGGUAAUGGGGAAUCAGGGUUCGAUUCUGUACAGGGACCCUGAUAAAUAGCUAUCACAUGCAAGGAAGGCAG